Molecule: transfer RNA, 74 nt
Filed under: Gemmatimonas sp.
Lineage: Bacteria; Pseudomonadati; Gemmatimonadota; Gemmatimonadia; Gemmatimonadales; Gemmatimonadaceae
Also listed under: 6 other names
Description: tRNA-Gly
Rfam family: tRNA
About the family: Transfer RNA (tRNA) molecules are approximately 80 nucleotides in length. Their secondary structure includes four short double-helical elements and three loops (D, anti-codon, and T loops).
Source: RNAcentral
GCGGGAAUAGCUCAGUUGGUAGAGCACAACCUUGCCAAGGUUGGGGUCGCGGGUUCGAGUCCCGUUUCCCGCUC